UCUUUGAAGGUCAUACACUGUCUGCUCAGUUCCCAGACUUCGGUGCUGUGGAGAAACUAGGCUUGGUGCUGGUCUUCAGGCCAUUCUAGAUUUCCAAGAAAGUCCAAAUAAAUGGACUUUUAUUUUUAUGGAAGCGACUCAGCUUACCCAGUGCAUAGUCACCCUUGGAAACUGUCCUGGACGUGACAUCAUCACAGCAGCGGCUGUCCACAAAACUUCCUCUACACUACAGCUAAUGGUUUCUCCUGGAAAUUCUGGCUCGUUGUCUCCUUGUUGACAAUACAGACUUAAUACAAGAUGGAAGAUAGGAGAAAAUAUUACCACAAUGAAAGAAGGAGAAAACCCGAAGGAAAAAAAAAUCUUCAAAAAAUAAUAAAAAAAAAAAACCCUGAGAACUUGUCAGCAUGAUGCACAGCUCUGAAGGUUAAAGCAAAGCAAAACAAAUGUAGUGCACCGCUGUGAUGAUGAUCAACCUUCCUUAUCAAUUGGAUGGGAACUGGAUUUGGAAUUGCCUAGGAGACACACCUCCAGCUACAUCUGAGGGAGUUUCCAGAGAGCUUUCACCGAUAAUGGAAGAACAUCCCAGAACAUGGGCGGCACUAGGCUGGUUCCCCAGACUGAACAAGAGGAGAAAGUGAGCCGGGUAGAAGCACCUGGCCUCUCUGCUUCCUGAGUGCAGCUGCAGUGAGACCACCCACCUCCUGCUCCUAUCCCCACAUCCCCUCACAUGUGAGCCAGAAUAAGCCCUUCCCCUGUAAGGGUUGGUUUGGGUUUUGUUUUCAUGGCAACAAGAAAAGGAACUAAUAAAAUCAUAGAGAAGGUCAAACUAGAAUCCGCAGAAUGAGAGAUGAUAUCUGCAAGUCAAGUAUCCGAGAAGGGACUUGUACCCAAGAUAAAGUCUCAAAUAUUCAGACCAUCCUCAUUUUAAAUUGAGCAAAGGGGAUAAGAGGCACAAAUCGCCCGCAGCACACCAGAAGAUGCCUGUGUUACUAAUCACAAGUCAAACCACAGUGGGACAGGACUGCAGCCACCAGCAUAGCUGCUUUAGAAAAGAGUUGGUGGGUUGUAAAAUGGUGUGGUCACCUUGAAUCAUAACUUGGCUGUAGUGAUAUCUUGUUUGUGCUCUAACAAAUAAAGCUUGCCUGAAGAUCAGAGUGCAGAGCUAAGCCACUAGAUAGCCAUUGAGGACAGGCAGUGGU
Myodes glareolus (Bank vole) is the source of this 1199-nucleotide non-coding RNA. Lineage: Eukaryota; Metazoa; Chordata; Mammalia; Rodentia; Cricetidae. The record is from RefSeq and is a predicted model, not a curated record.